CACGCUUCUGCUGUGCCCUUGGUGACAGUUACGAACUCUUGGACAGAGGAUUUUCGGAAAGGGAGGACGAGCUUAGGAUGAGAAUCACGCAUCCCAAAGGUUCCGUGGAUCCUGCACGGUGAUGGAACCUUGGAGCCCAAACGACAGAGCUCCUGUCCCUGGAGUCUGGGCUGGUGGAGAGGGCGUGCAGAGCAAAUAAGGGACUGGCCUGUCUCCAAGGGCCCUUCAGCCAUCAGGAGACACCAGGACCCUGAGAUCUGACUGUCCCUCUCUGUUAAGGAAGCAUCCACACAGCUCAGCCCACUGCCUGGUCCCAGGACGGAUGUCAGCAGAGUUCAGCAGAGAGCCGCUUGCUCAGGGCUUGGUGUGUGCGAGGCUCCUGGAGGGGACAAAGCGGGGGUCAAGAGACCCAGGCCGCAGCGUCAGGGAGGCAACCAGAGAGGCUCCUGGGAGGAGGCCUGAGGGCAACAACUGCCUGGAUGACAGCACAAAACGUGUCUCCCUUCCUCCAGAACCUGGGGUGGGCUACGCAGGCCCCACCCACACGACUGCAGGCACGGAGAACUGCCGCUGUGUGCAGGACACAGCGUAUAGAAGCCAGGACGAGGG
This 609-nucleotide long non-coding RNA is filed under the name Equus asinus (donkey). RNAcentral describes it as "lncRNA (ENSEASG00005032708.1)". Lineage: Eukaryota; Metazoa; Chordata; Mammalia; Perissodactyla; Equidae. The record is from RNAcentral.